This 468-nucleotide ribosomal RNA is filed under the name uncultured bacterium. RNAcentral's name for it is "partial 16S ribosomal RNA". It matches the Rfam family "Bacterial small subunit ribosomal RNA", at positions 28 to 507 of the family's 1533-position model. The record is from RNAcentral.
GACGAACGCUGGCGGCGUGCUUAACACAUGCAAGUCGAACGGAAAGGCCCUGCUUUUGUGGGGUGCUCGAGUGGCGAACGGGUGAGUAACACGUGAGUAACCUGCCCUUGACUUUGGGAUAACUUCAGGAAACUGGGGCUAAUACCGGAUAGGAGCUCCUGCUGCAUGGUGGGGGUUGGAAAGUUUCGGCGGUUGGGGAUGGACUCGCGGCUUAUCAGCUUGUUGGUGGGGUAGUGGCUUACCAAGGCUUUGACGGGUAGCCGGCCUGAGAGGGUGACCGGGCACAAUGGGACUGAGAUAGGGCCCAGACUGCUACGGGAGGCAACAGGGGGGAAUAUUGCCAAAUGGGGCGGAGCCUGAUGCAACAACGUCCGGUGCGGGAAGACGGGCUUCGGGGUGUAAACCGCUUUCGCCUGUGACCAAGCGUUAGUGACGGUAAUGGGUAAAGAAGCACCGGCUAACUACGUG